Molecule: ribosomal RNA, 369 nt
Filed under: uncultured Ochrobactrum sp.
Lineage: Bacteria; Pseudomonadati; Pseudomonadota; Alphaproteobacteria; Hyphomicrobiales; Brucellaceae
Description: bacterial SSU rRNA
Rfam family: Bacterial small subunit ribosomal RNA
Source: RNAcentral
GUCUUUCAGUUCGGCUGGACCGAUACAGGUGCUGCAUGGCUGUCGCAGCUCGUGUCGUGAGAUGUUGGGUUAAGUCCCGCAACGAGCGCAACCCUCGCCCUUAGUUGCCAGCAUUUAGUUGGGCACUCUAAGGGGACUGCCGGUGAUAAGCCGAGAGGAAGGUGGGGAUGACGUCAAGUCUCAUGGCCCUUACGGGCUGGGCUACACACGUGCUACAAUGGUGGUGACAGUGGGCAGCGAGCACGCGAGUGUGAGCUAAUCUCCAAAAGCCAUCUCAGCUCGGAUUGCACUCUGCAACUCGAGUGCAUGAAGUUGGAAUCGCUAGUAAUCGCGGAUCAGCAUGCCGCGGUGAAUACGUUCCCGGGCCUU